RNAcentral lists this ribosomal RNA (1611 nucleotides) under Metschnikowia reukaufii. RNAcentral describes it as "SSU rRNA". It matches the Rfam family "Eukaryotic small subunit ribosomal RNA". Lineage: Eukaryota; Fungi; Ascomycota; Pichiomycetes; Serinales; Metschnikowiaceae. The record is from RNAcentral.
AUCUGGUUGAUCUCCAUAUCAUAUGCUUGUCUCAAGAUUAACAUGAUGUUAAGUAAACAUCUAUACAGAAACUGCGAAUGCAUUAAUCAGUUAUCGUUAUUGAUAGUACUUGCUAAUUGGCUACGCUGGCAAUUCUAGAGCUAAUACUGCAUUCAAGCCCAACCUCUGGAAGGCUGUAUUUAUUAGAUAAAAAUCAACAUCAUAGAAGAUUCAUAAUAAUUGUCGAAUCGCAUGGCUCGGCCGGCGAUGGUUCAUUCAAAUUUUGCCCUAUCAACUUUCGAUGGAGGAUAGAGGCUACCAUGGUUUCACGGGUAACGGGGAAUAAGGUUCGGUUCCGGAGAGGGAGCCUGAGAAACGGCUACCACAUCCAAGAAGGCAGCAGGCGCGAAUUACCCAAUCCGACACGGGGAGUAGUGACAAUAAUAACGAUACAGGGCCUUUUGGGUCUUGUAAUUGAAUGAGUACAAUGUAAUACCUUAACGAGGAACAAUUGGAGGGCAAGUCUGUGCCAGCAGCCGCGGUAUUCCAGCUCCAAAGGUAUAUUAAGUUGUUGCAGUUAAAAGCUCGUAGUUGAAUUUUGGGGUGGCCCCAGGAGGUCCACUUUUUGUGAGUAUUUUGGGACUGCCUUCCAUGGCAACCUCUUUUUGGAGGGGCCAUAUUACUUUGAGUAAAUGAGAGUGUUCAAAGCAGGCAGCGCUUGAAUCUUUAGCAUGGAUAAUAAAAUGGACGAUGAUUCUAUUUGUUGGUUUCUAGGACAUCGUAUGAUUAAUAGGGACGGUCGGGGCAUUAGUUUCAGUUGUAGAGGUGAAAUUCUUGAUUUCUGAAGACUAACUACUGCGAAAGCAUUGUCAAGGAGUUUUCAUUAAUCAGAACGAAGUUAGGGGAUCGAAGAUGAUCAGAUACUGUAGUCUUAACCAUAACUAUGCCGACUGGAUUGGGCGACGCCUCAUGUUAUGACGGCCCAGCACUUACGAGAUCAAAGUUUUGGGUUCUGGGGGGAGUAUGGUCGCAAGGCUGAACUUAAGGAUUGACGGAAGGGCACCACCAGGAGUGGAGCCUGCGGCUUAAUUUGAUCACACGGGAAACACCAGGUCCAGACACAAUAAGGAUUGACAGUUGAGCUCUUUCUUGUUUUGUGGGUGGUGUGCAUGGCCGUUCUUAGUUGGUGGAGUGAUUUGUCUGCUUAAUUGCGAUACGAACGAGACUUAGCUUUUAUUGCGCAAGCUACUAUGUUGGUUUUGGCUAUAAAGGACUAUCGAAUUCAAGUCGAUGGAAGUUUGAGGCAUACAGUCUGUGAUGCCUAGACGUUCUGGGCGCCGCGCGCUCCUGACGGAGCCAGCGAGUUUACCUUAGCGAGGGUUGGGAAUCUUGGAACUCGUCGUGCUGGGAUAGAGCAUUGUAUUUUUGCUCUUCACGAGGAUUCUAGUAAGCGCAAGUCAUCAGCUUGCGUUGAUUAGUCCUGCCUUGUACACCGGCCCGUCGCUAUACCGAUUGAAUGGCUUGUGAGGCUCUGGAUUAGUUUGGGAGUGGGGCAACCAUUGCUAAGCUGAGAUGGUCACUGUCAUUUAGGGAGUAAAGUCGUAACAGGUUUCCGUAGGUGAACUGCGGAGG